UCUGAAUAUCAUACUUGAGGGGAAAGAAUAGUCUUGGCACAUCUUGUGUUUGGGUAAAUAGCUGCUUUAAAUGAAAUAAGGCAGUGGGUUAUUGGUACUAGGGAUAUUGAAUCUUGGUGUACAUCCCCAGCCCUUUUUUUGUUUGAUUGUUUGUUUUGUUGAUUUUGGCAGAAGUUAUUUAUUUAUUUUACUUGGUUUUUACUACUUAUACAAUGCAGUAAAAUGCAUUUUGACACAUCAUAUAUAAAUAGACUGUAACUUCUCCUUUUUCUGGUUGUACCUAAUGUCCAUUCAUACCAGUCAUAUUGUCAUUAUGAAAAUAGGAUAAUAAUGUCUGAUUUAUCCUCUUGCCCUUUAUCCCCAACCCUUUUAAAUUUUAUUUUCAGACAGGAUCUGGCUAUGUUGUCCAGCCUCACCUGGAACUUCUGAUCCUCCUGCCUCAGCUUGUCAAGCUGUUGGAAUUAAAGGCACUGGCCAUUGUACCUGAAAAAAAUAGUUUAUUUUGACACAAAUAUUAAUGACCAUCCUCAUGAACAUGGAUUUAACUUAUCCUGAAUGAUGUAUGUAUCCUACUCUGGAAGAG
This 583-nucleotide long non-coding RNA is filed under the name Marmota monax (woodchuck). The record is from RNAcentral. Lineage: Eukaryota; Metazoa; Chordata; Mammalia; Rodentia; Sciuridae.